Long non-coding RNA from Pristis pectinata (smalltooth sawfish), 2766 nucleotides. RefSeq lists it as uncharacterized. The transcript is spliced from 8 exons. Lineage: Eukaryota; Metazoa; Chordata; Chondrichthyes; Rhinopristiformes; Pristidae. The record is from RefSeq and is a predicted model, not a curated record.
AAGGACACGCAGACUCAAGACAAAGCAUCCCACUCCCAGUCAUCAGUCAAUAUUUAGAGAGGGAGAGCUUAUGUUCUAACAGCAGUGUCCGCAAUCUAUGCAUUCCUCAUCGAUAUACAAAGACUGCGUACUCCGAGCGUUCGGAGGGGAGAAAAACUGUGCUUUCAGGUUUAUUUAAUGCUGACAAGUAACGUUCAGCGGCCGGGAUUGCAUCAGGACCCAUUAGCUUGGCCUCUUUCUUUGGCUGUUGGCACGUCCCGGUUUACCUCAGUAUUCAGACUGCGAGACCUCAGCAAAUCAGAGCGUCCCGGAUUCGGAAGCUGCUGGAUAGCAAGUCUCUGUACAAGGUUUGCUCGGGCAACAAGCUUUGUGACUGGAGAAAUUGAGUCUGAGAAGGAAUCUGUCUGCGGCUUGGUCAAGAUGUUACAAGCUGCGAGGAUGCCCAGCGAGCAACCACUGCAGUCCGGAAGGGGAUGAAGAGGGAGAGCAAAACUGCAUGAAACACCACUGCAUGCUGCAUUGACAGUUUGUCUUGGUGAAUGCAGCAAAGUCAGAGCUCCUGCUUCCACCCACAGAGAGAGAAGACCUUGGGGCAACUUUUCAACUGGACGGGAAAGUGUAGGAGACAGGAGGGCGCGGUUUGGGAGAUCGAGGCUGACUGCAGAACGAAGGACUGAGUCGUGGACUGAGGCAAUCCUGUGAUUCCAGAAGUCAACCUUGUGAACCUUUUCUCAGAAACCUUGCUACAGCUCAUCCAAGGAGUUUAUUCUCCAGUUCUGGUAUACUCUGGAGUUUUUGAGGAUUCCACAAGGUGAAUGCUGGUUUGCUGGAAUCUCGAAUGGCUUUCUUGUGACCGAUUGCAACUUUGGGAGUUCCCAGACCUGGAUUAAUACAGGAAGAUGUGCGUGUUGUCCAUCCGGGCAGAGCUUCCCUGCACCCGUUUAAGCCACAGAGAAACGAGGGCUUCAAGAGGAGUGAAGAGCCGAAUGCUUGCUGGGGUUUUGGCUGUCUGUUGCACUCGCCUCCUGCCAAUCGCUUCCAGUUACGCCGAUGGAACCGACUGCGCAGAGGCUCCACAUGUUUAGACCACACCAGUCCGACCAGAUGCUUUUUCCAGGCCAGGAAGUUCUGCCCUGUAUUACCACAUGUGUAUGUUAUAAUUAUGUUAUUAUAAUAACAGGUGAAUAGGUUGUUAUAUUUAUGGCGAAGGUUGGGGUAGGUGUAAAAAUAAUCAUACGUGCUUGUUGGGUUUGGAUUGGACCUGGUUCAGGUUAGAUUUUAAUGCUAUAUCCAAACAGACAUCUAGCGCGUGAAGACCCAGGGUUGUUCCCAUCCAAUCCAGAGCUGUCGCCAAUACUGUCAGGUUGUGGAGAAGAGGGCCUUUGUACCACCAUCACCCAUGUGAGCCCUCUAUCUUCUCUUUGGACCAGAAGGAGAUCGAGAGAGAAAAUCCAUUGAGUUGGAAGGAUCGUUGACCCCAAGUCAACAGGUUAUCCUGGUCUAGUGGUUAAGUCAUUGGACUGGCACCUGGAGCUCUGAACCAGUAAACCUGAGUUCAAAUCCCACCAUGGUAGCUGGGGAAUAAUUAAAUUUUUUUUAAAAAAUUAUAGAUGCUGGAAAUCUGAAAUAAAAAUAGAAAUUGCUGGAAGCACUCAGUGGGUCAGGGAGUUUCUGCGGAAAGAGAAACAGUUAACGUUUCGGGUGGAAGGCUUUUUACCAGAACUGAGAGAGGAAUUUUAAAAGUAAUUUUAAGAUGCAGAGGUGGCAGCAGGAAGGAUGAAUAGGACGAAGGGAAUACCUGUGGUAGGGUGAGGCUGGAUCAAAUGGGUUAGUGAGGCAGUGAGAGGGUGAUAAUGUUUCUGUGUCAGUGUUGCAUGUUGCUGACAAUGGGGCUGUGGGACAUGAUCAGCAGGUCAUAGAGAGAGAGAACCUGAGCUUGUAUCACAGAUAACUUCGAGCAGAAAUGGCCAGUGGUGGUACAGACAGAGAAAGUGAGCGUUGUCUUUUGACCUGGCUCCAGCAAUCAUGGAUAUUUCUAACGACCUACCUAUCACCUUCCCUACAAUUUAGCGUUACCUUUAUCUCUUAUUCCCAGUUCUGACACAGGGGGCCAUGUGACCUGUUAACUCUGUUUUUCUUUCCAUAGAAGCUGUCUGACCUAUUUUUUCAGCAUGUUGCCAAUAUUUAGAUAAUUAGAACAUAGAACACUACAGCACAGUACAGGCCCUUUGGCCCACGAUGUUGUGCCGACAUUUUAUCCUGCUGUAAGAUCCAUCUUAACCCUUCCCUCCCACAUAGCCCCCCAUUCUGGAGUUUAAUGAGGCAGGUCCCAGUAAUGAUGAGCAUGAAGCUAUGGGACUGGUGUAUCUGGUUCAUGAAUGUCCUGCAGGGGAGGGAAUCUGUCAUCCUUGGUCUAUACCUGACAUCCACAUCCUGUAAAUGAAUAAAAUUUUAAGUCCUUUAAUAAGACAAAGCUAUGUUUCAGCAUUGCUUGUGCCAGAUAAGGGAAGGGUAGGGUGUGUAUUUUGACGCUGAUCACACGGUGUACAUUCCUAUGUAUCAUUUCUGGUUUGAUAGAGAUCUGAGUUACAGAGAGAAGAAUUCAUAACCAGCAAGUGAAUUAGAACGUGCGUGUGCAACCUUGUGACUUGUUGCAAUGCUGUGUUUAAAUGCAUUGCUACAUUUUCAUUUUAAUCAGUAUUUCUCGGUUAUCUAGUUCCAUUUUCUAAUGUGAUUCUUUUCUCAUUAAAAACUUGUGCAACAGUU